Molecule: ribosomal RNA, 587 nt
Filed under: uncultured bacterium
Lineage: Bacteria
Description: partial 16S ribosomal RNA
Rfam family: Bacterial small subunit ribosomal RNA
Source: RNAcentral
UGGGGAAUAUUGCACAAUGGGCGCAAGCCUGAUGCAGCCAUGCCGCGUGUGUCGAAGAAGGCCUUCGGGUUGUAAAGCACUUUCAGCGAGGAGGAAGGUGGUGAGCUUAAUACGCUCAUCAAUUGACGUUACUCGCAGAAGAAGCACCGGCUAACUCCGUGCCAGCAGCCGCGGUAAUACGGAGGGUGCAAGCGUUAAUCGGAAUUACUGGGCGUAAAGCGCACGCAGGCGGUUUGUUAAGUCAGAUGUGAAAUCCCCGGGCUCAACCUGGGAACUGCAUUUGAAACUGGCAAGCUAGAGUCUCGUAGAGGGGGGUAGAAUUCCAGGUGUAGCGGUGAAAUGCGUAGAGAUCUGGAGGAAUACCGGUGGCGAAGGCGGCCCCCUGGACGAAGACUGACGCUCAGGUGCGAAAGCGUGGGGCAGCAAACAGGAUUAGAUACCCUGGUAGUCCACGCUGUAAACGAUGUCGAUUUUGGAGGUUGUGCCCUUGAGGCGUGGCUUCCGGAGCUAACGCGUUAAAUCGACCGCCUGGGGAGUACGGCCGCAAGGUUAAAACUCAAAUGAAUUGACGGGGUCAUAGCUGUUCC